Molecule: ribosomal RNA, 2088 nt
Filed under: Triticum aestivum (bread wheat)
Lineage: Eukaryota; Viridiplantae; Streptophyta; Magnoliopsida; Poales; Poaceae
Description: partial small subunit ribosomal RNA
Source: RNAcentral
AUGAAAACUCCGAUUGAGCUUCUCUUAGGUGAAACUCCUGACUAUACCUUUUUUAAGGUGUUCGGGUGUGCCUGCUGGCCUCAUCUUCGUCCUUAUAAUGAUCGCAAACUUGAGUUUCGCUCCAAACAGUGUGUGUUCUUAGGGUAUAGUUCUCUCCAUAAAGGCUACAAGUGUCUCCAUGUCCCAACCAAUCGAGUCUACAUAUCUCGGGACGUUGUUUUUGAUGAGACUGUCUUCCCCUUUUCUGCCAUGCCUCAGUCAUCCACCACAACACCUUCUAUGCAUUCAUCUCCUCUUAUGCCUGGCCAAUUUGAAGAUGUUGCAUAUUCGCCUGUGUUGUUAUCUAAUCAUGGUGCAGGAAUUGGACGUGGAGCUCGCAUGGAACUCCUCCUUGACGGACCCGCUACGUCGCCUGUGGUGCACGUCAAUCGGCCGGUGCAUGCACCGCCUCCCGCCCUCGACCCCACACCGGGCGCCCCGUCUCCAACCGCGCCUGGGCCGGAGCCCAUGCUGGCUACUGCGACCGGGCCAGAGCCUGCGACGGCCUCCUCUGAGCAGUCUCCGUCGCCACCUCCUCGCCCGGACUCCCCUCCAUCAUCGCCCUCGCCAUCCGCGCGGGCGUCCUUGGUGCCUACUUCGCCCGGGUCUGCAGUGGCUCACACGCCGCCGGGGCCUACGUCGCCUGGCCUGCUGUCGCCUAGUCCGCCGUCGCCCGGCCCGACGUCACCCGGUCCUUCUUCACCGGAGUCCCCUGGACCAGCCUCACCUGCUCCGGACAUCCCGCCGGCCCCGGUGUUUGCUCCCCCGCGGCGUCCACACACUCGCAGCCGCAGUGGCAUUGUUCGUCCCAAGGAGCGCACCGAUAGCACGGUCACCUAUCUUGCUGCUUGCCUGGCUCAUGCUGUGGAUGAUCCAAUCGCCGAACCACGCAGUUAUCAAGCCGCUAUGAGUAUUCCACACUGGAGGGCUGCUAUGGAACAAGAAUAUCAUGCUUUUAUGAAGAAUAAGACCUGGACACUUGUUCCCCCUCUGUCUCGCAUCAACAUCAUUGAUUCGAAGUGGGUGUUCAAGGUGAAGAAACAUGCAGAUGGUUCCAUUGAGUGCUACAAAGCGCGCCUCGUGGCUAAGGGCUUUAAACAGCGUCAGGGCCUGGACUAUGAGGAUACAUUCAGCCCAGUUGUCAAGCCUACCACUAUUCGACUUCUUCUGUCUCUGGCAGUUUCUCGCGGAUGGUCUCUCCGCCAGCUUGAUGUACAGAACGCUUUUCUUCAUGGAUUGCUUGAAGAAGAGGUUUACAAGCGGCAGCCACCUGGAUUUGUUGAUCACACUCAGCCUCAUCAUCUCUGUCAUCUGACGAAGGCCAUAUAUGGACUGAAGCAGGCUCCCCGUGCCUGGCAUGCUCGCCUGGCUUCAGCUCUACGCACUCAUGGGUUCAUUCCUUCGACGGCCGAUACUUCACUGUUCUUGUUUCAGCGACCGAGUGUGACCAUGUACCUCCUUGUGUAUGUGGAUGAUAUUGUCCUGGUGAGCUCAUCUCCGACGGCUGCUGAUGCUCUAGUGACUGCACUUGGUCGUGAUUUUGCAGUUAAAGAUUUGGGACAGCUUCAUUUCUUCCUGGGUAUUGAGGUCGCUCAACAGUCUCGUGGCAGUUUGGCUCUCACCCAGAAGAAGUACUCUCUUGAUCUCUUGCGACGUGCUGAUAUGCUCAAGUGCAAGCCAUCGCCUACGCCCAUGUCCUCCACUGACACCCUUUCUGCUGCUGAUGGUGCUCUUCUCUCUCCUGAGGAUGCUACUGAGUACAGGAGUAUUGUUGGUGGCCUGCAGUAUCUGACGAUCACGCGUCCUGAUCUCUCCUUUGCGGUUAACAGGGUGUGCCAGUAUCUUCAUGCUCCCACUGAUGUACACUGGCCUACUGUGAAGCGCAUACUGCGUUAUGUGCGUCUCACUGUCUCCUUUGGUCUUCACCUGCGCCCCAGUUCCUUCGGAGUUCUUUCUGCAUUCUCUGAUGCUGAUUGGGCUGGGUGUCCAGAUGACAGGCGAUCCACGGGGGGACAUGCUGUGUUCUUGGGUCCUAAUCUGAUCGCCUAG